RNAcentral lists this ribosomal RNA (403 nucleotides) under uncultured bacterium. RNAcentral's name for it is "bacterial SSU rRNA". It matches the Rfam family "Bacterial small subunit ribosomal RNA", at positions 356 to 776 of the family's 1533-position model. The record is from RNAcentral.
GGGGAAUAUUGCACAAUGGGGGAAACCCUGAUGCAGCGACGCCGCGUGAGUGAAGAAGCGCCUCGGCGCGUAAAGCUCUGUCAGCAGGAACGAUAAUGACGGUACCUGAAGAAGAAGCCCCGGCUAACUACGUGCCAGCAGCCGCGGUAAUACGUAGGGGGCAAGCGUUAUCCGGAUUUACUGGGUGUAAAGGGAGCGUAGACGGCGGGGCAAGUCUGGAGUGAAAGGCCGGGGCCCAACCCCGGGACCGCUCUGGAAACUGCCCGGCUGGAGUGCGGGAGAGGUAAGCGGAAUUCCUAGUGUAGCGGUGAAAUGCGUAGAUAUUAGGAGGAACACCAGCGGCGAAGGCGGCUUACUGGACCGUGACUGACGUUGAGGCUCGAAAGCGUGGGGAGCAAACAGG